This 460-nucleotide ribosomal RNA is filed under the name uncultured bacterium. RNAcentral describes it as "partial 16S ribosomal RNA". It matches the Rfam family "Bacterial small subunit ribosomal RNA", at positions 338 to 795 of the family's 1533-position model. The record is from RNAcentral.
CCUACGUGAGGCUGCAGUGAGGAAUAUUGGUCAAUGGGCGCGAGCCUGAACCAGCCAAGCAGCGUGAAGGAUGAAUGCCCUACGGGUUGUAAACUUCUUUUGUAAGGGAAUAAAGUGAGGCACGUGUGCCUUUUUGUAUGUACUUUAUGAAUAAGGAUCGGCUAACUCCGUGCCAGCAGCCGCGGUAAUACGGAGGAUCCGAGCGUUAUCCGGAUUUAUUGGGUUUAAAGGGAGCGUAGAUGGGUUGUUAAGUCAGUUGUGAAAGUCUGCGGCUCAACCGUAAAAGUGCAAUUGAUACUGGCAGCCUUGAGUACAGUUGAGGUAGGCGGAAUGCGUGGUGUAGCGGUGAAAUGCUUAGAUAUCACGAAGAACUCCGAUUGCGAAGGCAGCUUGCUAGACUGCCACUGACGUUGAGGCUCGAAAGUGUGGGUAUCAAACAGGAUUAGAUACCCGGGUAGUC